CACUGGGCGUAAAGGGUGUCCAGGCGGCCCUGUUAGUCUCUUGUAAAAUCCGUGGGCUCAACCUACGGUCCGCAAGGGAAACGGCAGGGCUCGAGGGCGCGAGAGAUGUAUGGAACUCAUGGUGGAGGGGUGAAAUCCGUUGAUAUCAUGGGGAACACCAAAGGCGAAGGCAGUGCACUGGUACGUUCCUGACGCUCACACACGAAAGCCAGGGUAGCGAACGGGAUUAGAUACCCCGGUAGUCCUGGCCCUCAACGUUGUUCGCUCGUUCCGCGGAGUAUCGACCCUCUGCGGGACUAAGGUAACCCGGUAAGCGAACCGCCUGGGUAGUACGAUCGCAAGAUUAAAACUCAAAGGAAUAGACGGGGACUCGCACAAGCGGUGGAUUAUGUGGCUCAAUUCGAUGAUAAACGAAGAACCUUACCAAGGUUAGAAAUGCAACUGCAUCUCCUCCGAAAGGAGAAGAGCCUUCGAGGGUGUUGCACAGGUGAUGCAUGGUUGUCGUCAGUUCGUGGUUUGAACUGUUCCCUUCAGUGGGGUAACGAACGCAACCCCCGUUGCCUGUUGCCUAUAUGGUCAGGCGAGACUGCUCCCUCACGGGAGAGGAAGGUGGGGAUGACGCCAAAUCAGCAUGUCCCUCUGAUACCUUGGGCCGCACACAUAAUACAAUGGUCGGUACAACGAGAUGCAAUACCGUAAGGUGGAGCAAAUCUUUCAAAACCGUCCUCAGUACGGAUUGAGGUCUGCAAUCGACCUCAUGAAGCUGGAAUCGCUAGUAAUCCCGGGUCAGCUAAACCGGGGUGAAUACGUUCUCGAGUCUUGUACUCACCGCCCGUCAAGUCAGGGGAGCUGGGGGCGCCCGAAGGACUGCCUUGCGCAGUACUACGGCGAAUUCAGUGACAAGGACUAAGUCGUCUUGAUUAGAUA
This 927-nucleotide ribosomal RNA is filed under the name groundwater metagenome. Its description in RNAcentral is "bacterial SSU rRNA". It matches the Rfam family "Bacterial small subunit ribosomal RNA", at positions 552 to 1498 of the family's 1533-position model. The record is from RNAcentral.